AACGAACGCUGGCGGCAUGCCUAACACAUGCAAGUCGAACGAUCCCUUCGGGGAUAGUGGCGCACGGGUGCGUAACGCGUGGGAACCUGCCCUUAGGUUCGGAAUAACUCAGAGAAAUUUGAGCUAAUACCGGAUAAUGUCUUCGGACCAAAGAUUUAUCGCCUUUGGAUGGGCCCGCGUUGGAUUAGCUAGUUGGUGGGGUAAAGGCCUACCAAGGCGACGAUCCAUAGCUGAUCUGAGAGGAUGAUCAGCCACACUGGGACUGAGACACGGCCCAGACUCCUACGGGAGGCAGCAGUGGGGAAUAUUGGAAAAUGGGCGAAAGCCUGAUCCAGCAAUGCCGCGUGAGUGAUGAAGGCCUUAGGGUUGUAAAGCUCUUUUACCCGGGAUGAUAAUGGCAGUACCGGGAGAAUAAGCCCCGGCUAACUCCGUG
This 433-nucleotide ribosomal RNA is filed under the name uncultured bacterium. Its description in RNAcentral is "partial 16S ribosomal RNA". It matches the Rfam family "Bacterial small subunit ribosomal RNA", at positions 29 to 507 of the family's 1533-position model. The record is from RNAcentral.